This 217-nucleotide long non-coding RNA is filed under the name Elaeis guineensis (African oil palm). RNAcentral describes it as "long non-coding RNA (EGUI_LNC081650)". The record is from RNAcentral. Lineage: Eukaryota; Viridiplantae; Streptophyta; Magnoliopsida; Arecales; Arecaceae.
UCACCAUUAUCUCUUAGCAGAAUAUAGAUUUUAUUUUUUCUCCUCCUCAAGAUAGUAGAUCUAUGAAAAAAAGUAGUAUUGGCAUCCCCCUCUUUCAACCAAAUUGCUCUAGAUUUUUGCCUCCAAAAGGCUUCUUGCAUAUGUAGGUUUUUAUUAUAUUCACUAAAAGAGUAGAAAAGUUGGAAAUGUUGUUGAUCAGUGAGGCCAUUUUGUUGAG